Molecule: ribosomal RNA, 273 nt
Filed under: uncultured bacterium
Lineage: Bacteria
Description: partial 16S ribosomal RNA
Rfam family: Bacterial small subunit ribosomal RNA
Source: RNAcentral
AUACAGAGGGUGCGAGCGUUAAUCGGAAUUACUGGGCGUAAAGCGCGCGUAGGCGGCUUGGUCAGUCGGAUGUGAAAGCCCCGGGCUCAACCUGGGAAUGGCAUUCGAUACUGCCAGGCUAGAGUAUGGGGAGGGAAGUGGAAUUUCCGGUGUAGCGGUGAAAUGCGUAGAUAUCGGAAGGAACACCAGUGGCGAAGGCGACUUCCUGGCCCAAUACUGACGCUGAGGUGCGAAAGCGUGGGGAGCGAACAGGAUUAGAAACCCUAGUAGUCC